Molecule: long non-coding RNA, 787 nt
Organism: Lepus europaeus (European hare)
Lineage: Eukaryota; Metazoa; Chordata; Mammalia; Lagomorpha; Leporidae
Exons: 3
Source: RefSeq, a predicted model, not a curated record
CAAAAAGGAGAGAGAGGCACAGGGAUCUCCUAUCAACUGACUUUCUCCAGCUACCACAAUACCUGGACUCCACUAGCCUAAGGCCUAGCACUGAGAACUCAAGCCAGAUAAGAUCCUGAAGACAUCUACAUGUACCCAAGACCAACAAAAAAGAAUAUAUUGCCAGUUUUGACUGUGGACUUCAGCCAGGAGGAGCAGCAGGACCUGGACAAUGCUCAGAAGAUCUUGUAUGGGAAUGUGAUACUGGAGAACUACAGCAUCCUGCUGUCCUUGGGUGAGGGAAACUCCCAAGCCACUCCCAUUUGACAAAGACUCCUUAUAUAGUUUAACAUUACCCAGAACCCCUUAUGUAGCCCCUACAUUUCCAGAUAAGAGAAAUCAUUGGGCUGGUGGAGCAACUGUUCUCAACAAUAAGUUGCAUAGUCCUCUGACCCAGGCCAAAUACAUUGCCAGUACCCAGGGGAUUCAUUAUAUAUUUUAUCAGGUCACAGGUGAAUAUAUAGGUGGUGAAACAUGAUUUAGUAGGCUAAUGGAAAGCUGAAGAGGGACCCAUGACCGAAUUUCUAAUUCUCACUUAAUGUCAAGUUCAGCAAUUCAUGUGUGUCUACUCAUGUCUACUCUUUAAAGGUUUUGAUCUUUUGUUAAACUAUAUCCAAUAACUGGAAGCUCAAAAUUUAAUGAGAUGCUCUAUUUUCUUUGUAAACAGCAAAAGUACUUUUAAAAGUUUCCUUAAAUGAAGUGAAAAGGAAGCAAAUUAAACUAUACUGGGUUGAAUAUUAUUUCACUC